GGCCGCCGCAGAGCGGCCAUCUUGGCCCCACAGGGCGCGCUGGGAUCGUUGCCAUGGGGACCGGGCGCCCCUGAGCAGAGCCCCCGCCCCCCUGCAGUCAGGGGAGGAGGCUAGAAAGCGGGGCGCUGCAGUCACACGACUCCAGGAGCUGGGGCUUGGCGGCAUGCAGAUUGAUGUCUCCCCCACUUCCAUGAGACUGGUGCCAGCAGAAAAAAGUUGAUAAGCCCAAAUCCAAGAUGGAAAUAGGAAGGGGACCAAGCCUCUGGGAAACAAGGUGAACUAGGAUCAUCCUACUGGCCACUCUCCAGGAACAGCGUCAUGUCAGCAGGUGAUCAAAAUACUGUAGCUUUCUCUGUGAUAGAUGAUGAAGGCAGGUGCUUAGCCAUUGACAACAGGCAGUGAACCACUUUUCCUUACCCCUCCCAAGCCUCACAGCCUACAUCUACCCUGCUUCCUUCAGCCCUGUCACUAACCAGCAGUAAUACCUCAGACCUGGUACCCAUGUUACAGCG
RNAcentral lists this long non-coding RNA (512 nucleotides) under Gopherus agassizii (Agassiz's desert tortoise). RNAcentral's name for it is "lncRNA (ENSGAGG00000018061.1)". Lineage: Eukaryota; Metazoa; Chordata; Testudines; Testudinidae. The record is from RNAcentral.